UACGAAGGGUGCAAGCGUUGUUCGGAUUUAUUGGGCGUAAAGCGCGCGCAGGCGGAUUCUUAAGUCAGAUGUGAAAUCUCAGGGCCUAACCCUGAAACUGCGUCUGAAACUGGGAAUCUAGAAUUUUGGAGAGGCAAGGGGAAUUUCACAUGUAGGGGUAAAAUCCGUAGAGAUGUGAAGGAACACCGGAAGCGAAGGCGCCUUGCUGGACGAAUAUUGACGCUGAGGCGCGAAAGUGUGGGGAGCAAACAGG
This 253-nucleotide ribosomal RNA is filed under the name uncultured bacterium. RNAcentral describes it as "partial 16S ribosomal RNA". It matches the Rfam family "Bacterial small subunit ribosomal RNA", at positions 524 to 776 of the family's 1533-position model. The record is from RNAcentral. RNAcentral also lists the same sequence under 1 other name.